UGGGGAAUCUUGGACAAUGGGCGCAAGCCUGAUCCAGCCAUGCCGCGUGAGUGAAGAAGGCCUUAGGGUUGUAAAACUCUUUCGCCGGAGAAGAUAAUGACGGUAUCCGGAGAAGAAGCCCCGGCUAACUUCGUGCCAGCAGCCGCGGUAAUACGAAGGGGGCUAGCGUUGUUCGGAAUUACUGGGCGUAAAGCGCACGUAGGCGGGUUUGUAAGUAGGGGGUGAAAUCCCAGGGCUCAACCCUGGAACUGCCUUCUAAACUGCAAGCCUGGAGGUCAGGAGAGGCGAGUGGAAUACCGAGUGUAGAGGUGAAAUUCGUAGAUAUUCGGUGGAACACCAGUGGCGAAGGCGACUCGCUGGACUGAUACUGACGCUGAGGUGCGAAAGCGUGGGGAGCAAACAGG
Molecule: ribosomal RNA, 404 nt
Filed under: uncultured Hyphomonadaceae bacterium
Lineage: Bacteria; Pseudomonadati; Pseudomonadota; Alphaproteobacteria; Hyphomonadales; Hyphomonadaceae
Description: bacterial SSU rRNA
Rfam family: Bacterial small subunit ribosomal RNA
Source: RNAcentral